GGGCUAGUAAAGGUUUCGACAGGGAUUAUGAAGCUGGAGAAGCGAGCCGCAGGGUGAUGCGUUAAAUUCCAAACUUAAAAUUAAACGCUAACGAUAAUAAAUUAGCUUACGCUGCCUAAUGGCAGCAGUCUGACCUAGAGCACUCACACUUUAGGACCCAGGCUUCGACUAUGUGAGAAACGACACGGGCAAAGCUUUGAACCCGUGGGCGUAUGAUGAAGCUACUGAAACAGUUACGGUGUUCAUACCGGAAUUGCAGAGGGAAUGUCAAAUUAUGAACUACGCUCGUAGAAGGACAGGGGAUUGGUUUUUGGACACGGGUUCGACUCCCGUCUAGUCCACUG
Roseburia sp. CAG:45 is the source of this 344-nucleotide non-coding RNA. It matches the Rfam family "transfer-messenger RNA". From Rfam's summary of the family: Bacterial tmRNA, also known as 10Sa RNA or SsrA, is named for its dual tRNA and mRNA-like properties. Its role is to liberate the mRNA from a stalled ribosome. NCBI's taxonomy places the organism in Bacteria, Bacillati, Bacillota, Clostridia, Lachnospirales, Lachnospiraceae. The record is from Rfam.